Molecule: unclassified non-coding RNA, 353 nt
Filed under: soil metagenome
Description: partial contains 5.8S ribosomal RNA, internal transcribed spacer 2, and large subunit ribosomal RNA
Rfam family: 5.8S ribosomal RNA (bases 1-121)
Source: RNAcentral
GAUGAAGAACGUAGCGAAAUGCGAUAAGUAAUGCGAAUUGCAGAAUUUCCGUGAGUCAUCGAAUCUUUGAACGCACAUUGCGCCCGCCAGUAUUCUGGCGGGCAUGCCUGUUCGAGCGUCAUUACAACCCUCAGGCCCCCGGGCCUGGCGUUGGGGAUCGGCGGAGCCCCCCGUGGGCACACGCCGUCCCCCAAAUACAGUGGCGGUCCCGCCGCAGCUUCCAUCGCGUAGUAGCUAACACCUCGCGACUGGAGAGCGGCGCGGCCACGCCGUAAAACACCCAACUCUUCUGAAGUUGACCUCGAAUCAGGUAGGAAUACCCGCUGAACUUAAGCAUAUCAAUAAGCGGAGGA